GACGAACGCUGGCGGCGUGCCUAAUACAUGCAAGUCGAACGCAGUGGGGACGGGUGGUUAACACGUGGGUAACCUCCCAUCAGAGGGGAUAAAACUUGGAAACAGGUGCUCAACCGCUACUGGUGGAUGGACCGGCGGUGCAUUAGCUGGUGGGUGGGGUAACGGCUACCCAGGGCCAAGAUGCAUAGCCGACCUGAGAGGGUGAUCGGCCACACGGGGACUGAGACACGGCCCAGACUCCUACGGGAGGCAGCAGUAGGGAAUCUUCGGCAAUGGACGAAAGUCUGACCGAGCAACGCCGCGUGAGUGAAGAAGGUUUUCGGAUCGUAAAACUCUGUUGUUAGAGAAGCGGUAUCUAACCAGAAAGCCACGGCUAACUACGUGCCAGCAGCCGCGGUAAUAC
Molecule: ribosomal RNA, 403 nt
Filed under: uncultured bacterium
Lineage: Bacteria
Description: partial 16S ribosomal RNA
Rfam family: Bacterial small subunit ribosomal RNA
Source: RNAcentral